RNAcentral lists this long non-coding RNA (1776 nucleotides) under Lactuca sativa (garden lettuce). RNAcentral's name for it is "long non-coding RNA (LSAT_LNC007663)". Lineage: Eukaryota; Viridiplantae; Streptophyta; Magnoliopsida; Asterales; Asteraceae. The record is from RNAcentral.
UUAAAAUUAUGUGUUUUUUAUUGAAAAAUGGCAAAACAUCAUUUUCACGCUUUAGCUAAGAAAAUUCAUAAUUCAAAUAACAUAUUCACAAUUUAACAAACAUAUUAAUUCAACCAUUCACAACUUAAUAAACAUGUUAUACACCAAUUUAUAAGUUAACAGAAAUAACACUCAAUUUCUACCACCAUCACCACCACCAUCGCCAUCACUCGCCGCCACCACUAACCACAUGGACCACCAUUACCACUGUUAUUAUUGCAUCCUACCAGCAUCAAAUCUGCCACGACCAUUAUCAUUGUUACCUACUACUACUACAACCAAGCAACGAUGUCACUCUUCCUUCCUCCUAUCACCAUAAGAUCUGGGUCUUUUUCUGCCAAAUCUAUAUUAGUUCAUAAUUAGCUUUACAAAAAAAAUUACAAGUUAAAAUAAUAUUAUCAGUUUAAAAUCACAACUUAAAACAAUGUUUGCAAUUUAAAACAUUUCUUUAAUACAAAGAUCCAUAAACCAUUAACAGUUAAAUACAAAACAUAUAAAAUAUUCUUUUUCAGUCAAUUUAACUAACACCUUUUGAGAUGUAUCAAAGUCAAAUUCAAGAUGAUUAUAUGUUUUAUCUAACUUAUCUUUUGUUGUCCAUUCUAUCUAACUUUACAAAAAAAAAAAAUUUAAAUGCAAGUUAAAACAAUAUUCACAGUUUUUAAAAUCACAGCUUAAAAUAAUAUUCACAAUUUAAAACAUAUAUUCAAAGUUUAAUACAACGACCCAUAUAUCAUUUACAAAUUAAUACAAAACAUAUAGAACAUUCUUUUUUCAAUUAUUUUAACAAAUAAUUUGUGAGUUGUAUCAAAGUAGAAUUUCAAGAUGAGAUUUUCAUGUGCUUUAUUUAAAACUAUCUCUUUGACUCUUACAGCCCAUUCUAUCUAAGUUUAAAAUUAAUUUUACGAAAAAUUCACAAGUUAAAAUUAUUUUCAUAUUUUAAAAUUACAACUUAAAACACUAUUCACAGUUUAAAACACGUAUUCACAAUUUAAUUCAAUGAUCCAUACACCAUUAAGAGUAAAAUACAAAACAUAUAAACAUUUUUUUUCUAACUAAUUUAACUAACAACUUGUGAAUUCUAUCAAACAUAUAAACAUUUUUUUUCUAACUAAUUUAACUAACAACUUGUGAAUUGUAUCAAAGUCAAAUUCCAAAUUCCAAGAUGAGAAUAUUAUAUGUUUUAUGUAAAUUAUCUUUUGCUACAUAUUAUUUGCAGGAAAAGCUAUAAAAGAGAUAUUUGCAGGAAAAGCUACAAAAAAAAAAAAAAAAAAAAGUGUCAGGGGAAUCUCCCAUGGAAUUGAGAAUAUAUAUUUACAUGAAAAGCUACAAAAAAAAAAAGUGUUUUGCAUCCUCGAUUUCCUUCAAAGGAUCCCAAUCCUCCUUUUUACUAGGAACAUUUUCAAAAGGAACAAAUCUGGUUCAUCAUAAUCAUCAUCCUUCAAUGGAGAAAUAAAAAAACUUAAUCAAAUUGGAAGUUACUUGCUGAUGGAUACUUUGUUCAAAUAUUCACAAUUUUAAUUUUCGUUGACCAAUAGGAAGUAUCAAAUAUCAACAAAAAACUCAAUGGAUGAAAUAGAAAAAAUAAGUUAGGGUUUUUUUUACCAAAACUUGGAGAAAGAAGCUGAAAUCGGAUCAAAUGGUCUGGUCCACCAGCUGUAAACAGGGACUUCACCGGUGGCGGCGGCGGCAGCAGCAAGAGAGCGAGGCAAUGUUGGACGUCAUAUAUAUAUAUANNNN